This is a non-coding RNA of Mycena polygramma, 97 nucleotides long. NCBI's taxonomy places the organism in Eukaryota, Fungi, Basidiomycota, Agaricomycetes, Agaricales, Mycenaceae. The record is from the annotation of a GenBank genome assembly.
GACUCGGUGGCGAACGGUUCGUAUCCCCACAGCCUAAGGGCUUUCAAGAUAAUGUUAUCGUCCGGGGAAGUCGCCUGUUCGACUCAGGCCCGAGUCA